GAUGAACGCUGGCGGCGUGCCUAAUACAUGCAAGUCGAGCGAACGGACGAGAAGCUUGCUUCUCUGAUGUUAGCGGCGGACGGGUGAGUAACACGUGGAUAACCUACCUAUAAGACUGGGAUAACUUCGGGAAACCGGAGCUAAUACCGGAUAAUAUUUUGAACCGCAUGGUUCAAAAGUGAAAGACGGUCUUGCUGUCACUUAUAGAUGGAUCCGCGCUGCAUUAGCUAGUUGGUAAGGUAACGGCUUACCAAGGCAACGAUGCAUAGCCGACCUGAGAGGGUGGACGGCCAGACUGGAACUGAGACACGGUCCAGACUCCUAAGGGAGGCCGCAGUAGGGAAUCCUACGCAAUGGGCGAAAGCCUGACGGAGCAACGCCGCGUGAGUGAUGAAGGUCUUCGGAUCGUAAAACUCUGUUAUUAGGGAAGAACAUAUGUGUAAGUAACUGUGCACAUCUUGACGGUACCUAAUCAGAAAGCCACGGCUAACUACGUG
RNAcentral lists this ribosomal RNA (497 nucleotides) under uncultured bacterium. RNAcentral's name for it is "partial 16S ribosomal RNA". It matches the Rfam family "Bacterial small subunit ribosomal RNA", at positions 28 to 507 of the family's 1533-position model. The record is from RNAcentral.